UACGUAGGGUGCAAGCGUUAAUCGGAAUUACUGGGCGUAAAGCGUGCGCAGGCGGUUUUGUAAGUCUGUCGUGAAAUCCCCGGGCUCAACCUGGGAAUUGCGAUGGAGACUGCAAGGCUAGAAUCUGGCAGAGGGGGGUAGAAUUCCACGUGUAGCAGUGAGAUGCGUAGAGAUGUGGAGGAACACCGAUGGCGAAGGCAGCCCCCUGGGCCAAUACUAACGCUCAUGCACGAAAGCGUGGGGAGCAAACAGG
RNAcentral lists this ribosomal RNA (253 nucleotides) under uncultured bacterium. Its description in RNAcentral is "partial 16S ribosomal RNA". It matches the Rfam family "Bacterial small subunit ribosomal RNA", at positions 524 to 776 of the family's 1533-position model. The record is from RNAcentral.